UAUAUUUGCGGUUCAAAAUCAUACAUAAUAAUCAUUAAAAAUAAUAUUGGAAUG
This 54-nucleotide non-coding RNA is filed under the name unclassified sequences. RNAcentral describes it as "S15-Flavobacteria ribosomal protein leader". It matches the Rfam family "S15-Flavobacteria ribosomal protein leader". The record is from RNAcentral.